Molecule: transfer RNA, 62 nt
Filed under: Parasacculina yatsui
Lineage: Eukaryota; Metazoa; Arthropoda; Thecostraca; Polyascidae
Description: tRNA-Tyr
Source: RNAcentral
UUUGUGGUGACUGAUUUAGGUGUAAGAUUGUAAUUCUUUUUAAGACAUUUUGUCUCACAAAA